AUACGUAGGGGGCGAGCGUUGUCCGGAAUUACUGGGCGUAAAGGGCGUGUAGGCGGCCUGGCAAGUCGGCUGUGAAAUCCCCCGGCUCAACCGGGGAGUGGCAGUCGAAACUGUUGGGCUUGAGUGCAGGAGAGGAGGGUGGAAUUCCUGGUGUAGCGGUGAAAUGCGUAGAUAUCAGGAGGAACACCGGUGGCGAAGGCGACCUUCUGGCCUGUUACUGACGCUGAGGCGCGAAAGCCAGGGGAGCAAACAGGAUUAGAUACCCUGGUAGUCCUGGCUGUAAACGCUGGGUACUAGGUGUAGGGGGUUUAGAUACCUUCUGUGCCGUAGUUAACACAUUAAGUACCCCGCCCGGGGAGUACGGUCGCAAGGCUGAA
This 377-nucleotide ribosomal RNA is filed under the name uncultured bacterium. RNAcentral describes it as "bacterial SSU rRNA". It matches the Rfam family "Bacterial small subunit ribosomal RNA", at positions 523 to 898 of the family's 1533-position model. The record is from RNAcentral.